Molecule: ribosomal RNA, 500 nt
Filed under: uncultured Myrionecta
Lineage: Eukaryota; Ciliophora; Litostomatea; Cyclotrichida; Mesodiniidae
Description: SSU rRNA
Rfam family: Eukaryotic small subunit ribosomal RNA
Source: RNAcentral
AAUUUCUAUGAUAAGCCAUGCACGUCUAAGUACAAACUAAAUGAUGGUGAAACUGCAAAUGGCUCAUUACAACGGUUAUGAUGUACCCGGGAGUUCCGAUGGAUAUUUCCAGUAACACUAGAACUAAUACAUGUCCCUGCGUUUAUUAGUUUCGCACAGUCCGUCGCUGAGUCAUGGUAAACAGUUGAUCGACUCGACGUCCCGGAACAGUUUCCGCCCCAUCAGCUUCGAUGGUUGGGUAUUGGCCUACCAUUGCAACAACGGGUAACGAGGAAUUAGGGUUUGAUUUCGGAGAGGGAGCCUGAGAAACGGCUACCACAUCUACGGAUGGCAGCAGGCGCGCAAAUUACCCAAUGCAGACACUGUGAGGUAGUGACGAGAAAUAAUAAAGCGGGACUUCUGUUUCGCUAUUAUAAUGAGGAAUAACCAAAGGUCAUUCCGAUUAGCAACUGAUGGGAAAGUCUGGUGCCAGCAGCCGCGGUAAUACCAGCGUCAGUAGC